RNAcentral lists this long non-coding RNA (356 nucleotides) under Ananas comosus (pineapple). RNAcentral's name for it is "long non-coding RNA (ACOM_LNC004414)". Lineage: Eukaryota; Viridiplantae; Streptophyta; Magnoliopsida; Poales; Bromeliaceae. The record is from RNAcentral.
UAAUAGAAAACUUGCUAAAGUGCAGUGGAGUCUUAGCCUAAGGCUUCGUUUAGAAUUACGGGGAGAUUGCGUUAUGUGCGGUGAGAAACUACGAUAAGAAAAUACCUUGUUUGUUUCCGUACGUAAUAUUACGUUCCGCAUAUUACGAUGAGUCGGUUAUAAUAUAUUUUCUGCGGUCCCAUCGGAGAACGCAGAAACAUAUCACUGUAUAUUUUUUUUCUAACUCCAUUUUAUCUAAUAGCCUCAGAUAGAUCUCAAUACCAAACUAAGCCUAAGCCUUUGGAAACUUUUCUAGCUAGUCUUUAUUUUUGUUCCAUGCAAAAUAAAGCUUAGAUAACCACAAAUUAAUAAACAAC